UGGGGAAUUUUGGACAAUGGGGGAAACCCUGAUCCAGCCAUCCCGCGUGUGCGAUGAAGGCCUUCGGGUUGUAAAGCACUUUUGGCAGGAAAGAAACGUCGCGGGUUAAUACCCCGCGAAACUGACGGUACCUGCAGAAUAAGCACCGGCUAACUACGUGCCAGCAGCCGCGGUAAUACGUAGGGUGCAAGCGUUAAUCGGAAUUACUGGGCGUAAAGCGUGCGCAGGCGGUUCGGAAAGAAAGAUGUGAAAUCCCAGAGCUUAACUUUGGAACUGCAUUUUAACUACCGGGCUAGAGUGUGUCAGAGGGAGGUGGAAUUCCGCGUGUAGCAGUGAAAUGCGUAGAUAUGCGGAGGAACACCGAUGGCGAAGGCAGCCUCCUGGGAUAACACUGACGCUCAUGCACGAAAGCGUGGGGAGCAAACAGGAUUAGAUACCCUGGUAGUCCACGCCCUAAACGAUGUCAACUAGCUGUUGGGGCCUUCGGGCCUUGGUAGCGUAGCUAACGCGUGAAGUUGACCGCCUGGGGAGUACGGUCGCAAGAUUAAAACUUAAAUGAAUUG
This 563-nucleotide ribosomal RNA is filed under the name uncultured bacterium. RNAcentral's name for it is "partial 16S ribosomal RNA". It matches the Rfam family "Bacterial small subunit ribosomal RNA", at positions 355 to 912 of the family's 1533-position model. The record is from RNAcentral.